RNAcentral lists this long non-coding RNA (224 nucleotides) under Spirodela polyrhiza (greater duckweed). RNAcentral describes it as "long non-coding RNA (SPOL_LNC000516)". Lineage: Eukaryota; Viridiplantae; Streptophyta; Magnoliopsida; Alismatales; Araceae. The record is from RNAcentral.
UUUCACAUAUAAAAUAAAUGAUGAGAGUAGUUGGAACUACUCUAUUAAGUUUGCAAACUGGGAGAUCUUGGUAACUUUGAAUGCAUGGACUGGAAAACUUAACUCAAACAUGCAAAGUUUUGUCAAGCAUCUUUUGCUUUCUCUACAUGCAUAGAUCCUGUCAAACAAGCCUGAAGAGGCUGAUUUUUAGAGGCAAAUCAACUACUUUUAGACAUGUUUAAAAC